This 125-nucleotide microRNA precursor is filed under the name Daucus carota subsp. sativus. RNAcentral's name for it is "sRNA DCAR_mi00101". Lineage: Eukaryota; Viridiplantae; Streptophyta; Magnoliopsida; Apiales; Apiaceae. The record is from RNAcentral.
CGGUACUUUGAUUAAUGGGUUGUGUAGGGAGGGGAAGAUUGAUGAGGGUUUAAGGCUUCGAGUUGAGAUGAAAGCCCUAAACUUGGUGCCUGAUCUGGCUACUUAUAAUACUUUGAUUGAUGGAU